Molecule: ribosomal RNA, 420 nt
Filed under: uncultured Lactobacillus sp.
Lineage: Bacteria; Bacillati; Bacillota; Bacilli; Lactobacillales; Lactobacillaceae
Description: bacterial SSU rRNA
Rfam family: Bacterial small subunit ribosomal RNA
Source: RNAcentral
GACGAACGCUGGCGGCGUGCCUAAUACAUGCAAGUCGAGCGAGCUUGCCUAGAUGAUUUUAGUGCUUGCACUAAAUGAAACUAGAUACAAGCGAGCGGCGGACGGGUGAGUAACACGUGGGUAACCUGCCCAAGAGACUGGGAUAACACCUGGAAACAGAUGCUAAUACCGGAUAACAACACUAGACGCAUGUCUAGAGUUUGAAAGAUGGUUCUGCUAUCACUCUUGGAUGGACCUGCGGUGCAUUAGCUAGUUGGUAAGUAACGGCUUACCAAGGCAAUGAUGCAUAGCCGAGUUGAGAGGGUGAUCGGCCACACUGGAACUGAGACACGGUCCAGACUCCUACGGGAGGCAGCAGUAGGGAAUCUUCCGCAAUGGGCGAAAGCCUGACGGAGCAACGCCGCGUGAGUGAUGAAGGUC